This is a non-coding RNA of Nicotiana tabacum (common tobacco), 4341 nucleotides long. NCBI's taxonomy places the organism in Eukaryota, Viridiplantae, Streptophyta, Magnoliopsida, Solanales, Solanaceae. The record is from RefSeq and is a predicted model, not a curated record.
GGGGAUCUGGCUAAAAAAAAUUCAAAAAAAUAAAAAUUUAAAAAUAUCUCUAAAUUAUGAGAAAUUUUGUGGAAUACUUAUUUAUAACUUGUAAAGCGUGGAUUACUUUUUUAUUCUCAAGUUGUAGGCGUGAUUUCUUGAUUUUCUUCCAUUCUCGGAUUCUCCUACAAGUUACACAAAGUAUAUUAAAACAUAAUAGAUAUCACAUAACUACAUAAGUAAAAGAGUUAGACAUAUAAAGAUAAAGAAAACAUACCUUUUAGGCUUUUACUGGUUUUGUCGAAGAACUUGACAUGAACAUAGAGAAUAAAAGACGUAAUUAUCAUUUAGCAUUCCUCUCACAAGUCACAAAUUAUAAAGAGUUAGCCAUUCUCAUUAAGUCAAUCAAAUAAGCAUGAGCACCAAAAAGGCCAAAAUAAACUACAAUUACAAUCACCAUUCCCCAUACAAAGUUACAUUAACAUUGAACUAUAUAAACUAAUAAAAAGUAGGAAAGUAUAACUAUUAAGUUUUAGCAUUUGAACAAUAAUAUUUAGCAUUCUUCCUCACUAUUUUCAAGAUCAAUUUCUUACACAUCUUCAACCUCUUCUUCAAAGAUGACUCCUUCUAAGUGAGGCUCAUCUAUUGAUAAGUCAACUAGAUCACCGGUGGCUUCAUCAACAUCAAAACGAUCUCCACCUGAAGCAAAAUUAAAAUAAAAAUGAUUUAAAAUAUUAAAAAAUAUAUAAAAUCAAGAAAACAUAGAUUAUAGACAUACCCACAUCCCAAUACUUGCUUGGGCCACUUGUAUAUUUUUUGUUUUUGACGAGAAAGCAAGCGAAAAUUGUAGUGCACAAAAACUAGAUCUUCGGCUCUUGAAGUCUCUGACUUGUUUCUUUUGAUGUUAUGGAUCAACAAAUAGGUGCUCCAAUUCCUUUCGCAACAAGAAGAAGAAGCCGAUUGUGAAAGCAAUUUGUAAGCCAAGCUUUGCAAAAGUGGAGCGUUUACACCAUGGUUAGCCCACCAAGAUACAUGCUCCUCAUACAUCAUAGCCUCAACCACAUGAGGCUCACUAAAAGAACCACUCCCACUUGCGAAUGCUCCGUACUCCAAAGACGCUUGUUUUAGAUCAUUUGAAUAUUUAAAGUAUCUUUGGAAGCAUUUAACCCUAUUUAAAGAAAUCUCUUUAUCCUCAUUGGGAGCAAGCUUUCGAACCCCAUUGCCUUUUUUAAGCCAUGAUUCGUGGUAAUUUUUGGUACCAAUGAAUGUGUCAUACAAUGUAAAAGAGUGUUACUCUUAUUCCACCUAGCAACAAGAAUUUCUUGAAUUGUAUCAAAAAAGUCUGAUUGCCCGAUAAUAAGAUCUUCUCCUUCUCAAAGAUAAUUGCCUUCACAUUUUCGAUCAUUAUAUCCCACAUAUUAUAAACAAGACGCAACUUUAGAGCAUUAAGAUUGGCACUUCUAAACAUAGACACAAUUGAUUACGUAAACUUUAAAAAGUAUUCAAUCUUAUCCCACCAUCCGUCAUUCAUUACAAAGGAUUUUAUUUCACGCAUUUUAGCUUCAAUCACUUUAUCUCCCUUAUAAUUUUUCCGAUCAUCAUCCAUCACCAUUCUUUCCAAUGAUGCUUUUACUUGAUGAACACGACUAGUCAUGACAACAUGAGAUGCAAAUCUCGUUUCGGCAACUUUCAACAAAGACAACGCCGAAUGCUUUUGAAAAAGAGCAUGAGCCGUAUCAUAAUUCAACACAAAAAUUUUCAAGCUACUAACUUCAAUAAUCAAAUCUAAAAUCCAUUUGCAAUUCACAAAUUGAGUUGAUUUUUUGGAAGUUUGCACAUACUUUUUAGUGCAAGGUUCAAACAAUGAACAACACAUGGUGUCCAAAAUAUAUGUGGAAAAGUUUGCUCAGAACCGGCAAGCUUCAUAUUACUUGCAUUAUCGAUGAUAACUUGAACAACAUUACUUGCAUCGAUUACUUGAACAACAUUAAAUCAAUUGAAGAGGUUGGUGCAAGUAAUGAUAUGGCUCAUGCUCUUUUUCAAAAGUAUUCGACUUUGUCUUUGUUGAAAGUUACCGAAACGAGAUUUGCAUCUCAUAUUGUCAUCACUAGUCGUGUUCAUCAAGUGAAAGCAUCAUUGGAAAGAAUGGUGAUGGAUGAUGAUUGGAGAAAUUAUAAGGGAGAUAAAGUGAUUGAAGCUAAAACGCGCCAAAUAAAAUCCCUUGUAAUGAAUGACGGAUGGUGGGAUAAGAUUGCGUACUUUUUAAAGCUUACGGAACUAAUUGUGUCUAUGCUUAGAAGUGCCGAUCUUGAUGCUCCAACGUUGCAUCUUGUUUAUGAUAUGUAGGAUACAAUGAUCGAAAAGGUGAAGGCAAUUAUCUUUGAGCAAGAGGGGAAGGAUCAUAUUAUCGGGCAAUCAGACCUUUUUGAUACAAUUCAAGAAAUUCUUUUUGCUAGGUGGAAUAAGAGUAACAUUCCUUUACAUUAUAUGACACAUUCAUUGGUACCCAAAUACUACCACGAAUCAUGGCUUAAAAAAGGCAAUGGGGUUCGAAGGCUUGCUCCCAAUGAGGAUAGAGAGAUUUCCUUAAAUAGGGUUAAAUGCUUCCAAAGAUACUUUAAAUAGAUCUAAAACAAGCGUCUUUGGAGUAUGGAGCAUUCGCAAGUGGGAGUGAUUUUUUUAGUGAGCCUCAUGUGGUUGAGGCUAUGAUGUAUGAGGUGUCUCUAUCUUGGUGGGCUAACCAUGGUGUAAACGCUCCACUUUUGCAAAGCUUUGCUCUCACAACCGGCUUCUUCUUCUUAUUGCGAAACGAAUUGGAGAACCUAUUUGUCGAUCCAUAGCAUCAAAAGAAACUAGUUAGAGACUUCAAGAGUCGAAGAUCUAGUUUUUGUGCACUACAAUCUUCGCUUGCUUUCUCGUCAAAAAGAAAAAAUAUAUAAGUGGCCUAAGCAAGUAUUGGGAUGUCGGUAUGUCUAUAAUCUAUGUUUUCUUGAUUUUAUAUUUUAAAUCAUUUAUAUUUUAAUUUUGCUUUAGGUAAAGAUCGUUUUGAUGUUGAUGAAGCCACCGGUGAUCUAGUUGACUUAUCAAUAGAUGAACCUCAACCAGUGUUUUAAAAAGCGACGGAGCAAUUGCUUUAAUCGAGAAGCGACGCGAAGCAAUGGCUGCUCGCUUUUCCAUGCCUGAGGCGAAUCGACCACACGAAGCGCUCGCUUCAGUCGAAAAAGAGCAAAGCGACCUUGAAGCGCAGAAUCGCUCGCUUCUGUUCAGAGGGGUCAGUUUUUUUAAAAAAAAAAAAGUUGGGUCUGUUUUUUUAUUAUACAAAACAGACCCCUAAGACCAAAGUGAAGACCAUUUUUCUCUUCUUCCCAAAUCAAUUGUUGUUGAGUGCUGCUAGGGUUCAAGUCGCCAGAGACCUCCAAUCCUCCAGUUCUUCGACAAAACCAGUAAAAGCCUAAAAGGUAUGUUUUCUUUAUCUUUAUAUAUCUAACUCUUUUACUUAUAGAGUUAUGUGAUAUCUAUUAUCUUUUAAUAUACUUUGUGUAACUUGUAGGAGAAUAUGGAAGAAAAACAAAAAAUCACGCCUACAACUUAGAAUAAAAAAGAAAUCCACACUUUACAAGCUAUAGGUAAGUAUUCUACAAAAUUUCUUAUAAUUUAGAGAUAUUUUUAUUUUUAGGCGGAUCCCUGCACCCGUGUCGGUUCUAGGAUCCGAAUCUUAAAAUUUACAUCUCAAAUGAUCCGUACCCAUGUCAUAGCAACUUAUGUGAAGAGUAUAUUUUGAGAAUGUAGAAUACAUCCUUGUACAAAUGCUCUUUUGUGUUUCUGACUUAAGAUAUGGGAAGCCCAUGUUACUGGAUGGUAGAAAAACUGAAUGGAAAUAGAAGCCAGCAGCACUGCUAGGUCAAUGUUAUCAAGUUGUUAAUGUACCAUCGGAAGGCAGGAUACUGGUAAGUGACAUCUUCCAUCAUAUUUGGAACAAAGCCUGUUUAGCUGGAUCCCCUAUCGGUAUGGUUGCUCAACAAUGCUGAUCAAUACUUUUCUUGUCGCCUGGGGUUUUGAAUAUCUUCAUAUUCUUGCAUAGCGCAGAAGUGAAUUGGAUACCUCUUUGAAAUUAUUCAUUGAAAUUGAUAAAGCAUAUUUUUACUGGCAGGAGACUCCUGCAAAUAUACGAUACCAUAUUUGAGUCAAAAAAUGAGGUUUAGCUAAGCUGGUAUGAUACCAUAUUUAAGUCAGCUAACCUGCUAUGGGUUCUUAUUUAAGUUACCGGUCCCUGAACAGCAGUCAGUUUCACUGCACAAAGAAGGUCGAUCCCAGUUCAUUGAAUGCAUUCGUGUAUACAAAAUUUGCAAGGCUUCUCGAGUG